Schistocerca piceifrons (Central American locust) is the source of this 73-nucleotide non-coding RNA. NCBI's taxonomy places the organism in Eukaryota, Metazoa, Arthropoda, Insecta, Orthoptera, Acrididae. The record is from the annotation of a RefSeq genome assembly.
GCUGUGAUGGUGUAAUGGUUAACACAUCUGUCUUCUAAACAUGGAGACCUGGGUUCAAGUCCCAGUCAAGGCA